This 2315-nucleotide long non-coding RNA is filed under the name Bemisia tabaci. RNAcentral's name for it is "lncRNA ENSSSA2NGG013259". The record is from RNAcentral. Lineage: Eukaryota; Metazoa; Arthropoda; Insecta; Hemiptera; Aleyrodidae.
AUGAAGAAGCGUCGAGAAGCCAAAGAGGCGCAGAUCAAGAAGGAGGAAGAAGCAGCGCGGGAGGCAGCUGCCAAAGAAGCGAAGAAGAACGAAGCGCCAGCGGUAUCAGCCGCAGCAACUAUGAUGAGCGGUAUGAACACCGUUGCCGGGGCCAUGAAUCCGGCCAUGUUCCAAAUGAAUGCCGCAAUGAAUCCUGCCGCUGCGAUGGCAGGCUUUGGUGCUUACGGUUUCCCUGGUUAUGGGGCUUUUCCAGGAAUGGCGGUGCCGCCCCCUAUGGCUCAGCAAACCACUCAGGCAACCAUGAAUCAGUUCCCAGGAAUGAAUGCUGCAGCCAUGAAUCCAGAAACCAACACGGCUCCACUUGAUUUCCUGAAGUCCGGAAGCAAGGGUAUUCCUGGCUUAGACCUUGUUGGUCAAGAAGGAGACUCUGGGAACAGAAAUGAUCCGAGUAAAAACAGUCAAGAAAGGAACGACUACUCUGGCCGCGACAUGAACAAACCUUUAACUACCUCCGAUGACAAACCGUUCCAGUUUCCGCCUCCUGUCGGGCAGAUGCCCCCAUUCAUGCAAGGAGCCAAUCAGCAAGUUGGUAUGCCUCCAUCGUUCGCACCAAAUGUUGCUCCACCUGCAGCUGGAAUGUUCUCAGCACCACCGCCAGAUGGAUUCGGAAUGACCCCAGCUGCUGGUGCACCCAAUAUGUAUGGAAUGCCAAAUCCCAUGCAAAUGUACCCAGGAAUGCCCAAUGCAGGAUUUACAACUGCCCCACCAACUGCAGCCCCAUUCAAUCAAAAUAGUUCUCAAGGUCCAAAUGCCUACGGCGGCGACAAAGCCAAAUCGGGCGACUCGUCCAACCGAUUCGGUAGAGGACAAGAUUCGCAAUCUGACAAUUUUCGAUCUCAGAAUAAUUACUUUGACUCGUCAGGUGGAAAAGAGAAAGGGCCUGGCGGUCUCCUCCAGAAACCAGCAGGAUUCGAUCAGCGCGGAGGAGGAAGGUUCAACCGGGACUUACAAGAUUCUAGUCAAUACCCAGAUGACGAUAUGGAUGUACAAAGCAACGGGUCUUUCAAUAGGUCUUACGAUGAUCAAGAAUAUUCUGAUUAUAAUAAAUUCAAAAGUGGGCCACCUGGGUUUGAUCCCAAGAAUAAGCCUCCUGGUUUCAUGGAUAGAUCAGGCCCUCGAGACACCGGGAGCAAAGGCUUCAAUCAGCGAAAAAGCAGGUUUGACGAUCCCAUUACCGACCGAGAACCGUCGAAAACUUCUCUUGGAGGUAGUUUGAAUAAUGCUGGUAGCCUCCUAAGGCCAAGCUACUUAAUGGAUAAAAGAGACGCUCUUGAACGGAUACGAACCAGUGCCGGACUCCCACCUUUAAGCUCAAUCACUGACGCUCCGUUCGGUCAAAGUUCAGCUAUGAAUGAUUUUAGAUCAAAAGGUCGAGGACAGUUCGAUAACUCAAGGACCAGAGAGCCUUUCGAAGAGCGAGGACAAUUUGAUGGACCGAAUAGUGGAGACCAAUUCAAUGAAAUGGAUGAUAGGUUUGAUGAGCCUCGGGGUCGUGGAAAGUUUGAUGAACCUAGGGACGUGGCAGAUUUGAUGAGCCCAGAGGACGUGGCAGGUUCGAGGCAAGGGGACGUGGUCGUUUCGAUGGAUCUGAUAGAGGAUUCGAUAGCAGGAAUAAGUUUGAUACGGAGAACAAGUUUCCAGAUGAUGAUUUUGGACCUCCGAGACCCUUUAGAGAUGAAAAUUUGUCACCAGGCAAUAUACCUAAUAGUGAUAGACCGAAAUGGGGCCGACCUGAGCCAGCGCCUACACCCGCACCAUCACGUUUUGAGCCAGCUCCAGUUCGCCCUCGUUUGGAAGUAGAAUUCCUGAGGCCUGCUAAAGUCAUAGAUUACAACCAUAAAAGACUUGAACCUGGUAAGUUUACAUCCUCAAAUGUAUCUUGACUCAAUUUUUUUUUUUUUUUUUUUUUUUUUUUUUUUUUUUUUAGGACAGGCUUAAGGCAAGGCGGAUAAAGAAUGGUGGUCGCAUUUCGUACCCUCUGGACGUCACACGGUAUCGGGUACAUCGGGUACAUGGGCCGGCCGAGGCCGGGGGAGCCGGCCAAGCCGGCUCAAUGCAUGGCAAAAACCGUACCCUCUUGACGUCACAGCGCUUCAAGAUGGCAGCCAAAAUCGAAAUGCGACCACCAUUCUUUAUCCGCCUUGGGCUUAAGGAAUGAGCUCUAUGCAUUGUCAAGGGACUUGUCAAUUUCUUAAAUGUUUCCCAGGAAAUGAAUAAUUGUCCUUAGUCAGUAGGAAUUGAAAUCAAGAGGCUAG